This 19-nucleotide small nuclear RNA is filed under the name Arabidopsis thaliana (thale cress). RNAcentral describes it as "snRNA_06278". Lineage: Eukaryota; Viridiplantae; Streptophyta; Magnoliopsida; Brassicales; Brassicaceae. The record is from RNAcentral.
GAAGGAGUCCACACUCCAC